UACGUAGGUGGUUUUCUAAGCACGGGGUUUAAGGCAAUGGCUUAACCAUUGUUCGCCUUGUGAACUGGAAGGCUUGAGUGCAGGAGAGGAAAGCGGAAUUCCUAGUGUAGCGGUGAAAUGCGUAGAUAUUAGGAGGAACACCAGUGGCGAAGGCGGCUUUCUGGACUGUAACUGACACUGAGGUACGAAAGCGUGGGGAGCAAACA
RNAcentral lists this ribosomal RNA (206 nucleotides) under uncultured bacterium. Its description in RNAcentral is "partial 16S ribosomal RNA". It matches the Rfam family "Bacterial small subunit ribosomal RNA", at positions 568 to 774 of the family's 1533-position model. The record is from RNAcentral.